CUUUGUGUGAAAAGUGGUAUGACAUAGCCUACACAGUGAUUUAGUUAAAAUAUUUUUAGGCUUAUCUAAAUUAACUUGAUGAGCUGCUUGAGAUAUCAUAUGAUUUCUAAUUAUGCCAAAACUAGCUUUAAGUAUUCAUUAAAUUAAAACACAUAUCUGCAAGUCUUCUUUCAAGGUCGUUCUGAAAAUGAUUGAUUUCUACACGCUCUUCCUUGCCAUUAUAUUUCAAUUAUUGAAAAGCCUUGUCAUUUUUUCCCAAUAUUUUGAGCAAGUUAAUGAACUGCAAACGUUCAUUUUUGUGUGGUAUUUCGGUAAUAAAUUUUCAGUACAAUGGAACUUUUCGUCUAUAUUUAAAAAACCACCAAAAUGGUUAGACAAUAAAAUUCUGAAAGUGCUUCCAUGUCCUGAAAAAAGAUUGGAUUCAUUAAAAAGACAAGUUCAAAACAUACAACCUUUGAAAAGGACAACUGUUUUUGUAUAUCCUUUGACUGGCGUGGAUCGGCUGAUAAGUUUCAGGAACGUGAGUUAUGAAACGGGCUGGAGAUAUUUCUUUACACAACUAGCAGAAGCUGGUUUUUUUUUCGUCAGAGCCAGUACGGUUAAGUGUGAGUGUUGUCACGCACGGAGAGCUAUGACUGUCUUUAAUUCAGACCCUUCUAAUCCAGAAUACCACAAUUUUGGAUGUCGAUUCGCCAAUAGUGAUCGAAGACAUAAUAUCAAUACCCCAGGAAUAGUAUCUUACGUUGGAUUAGGUUACAAUGAACAAAUUCAUUUGAAUCCUCCUGUUAACUCGACAGUUCGUUGCUUAAUCAGCUCCCGAGAAACAGCCCAUCCUCAUUAUAAUACUUACAAUACAAGACUUGAAUCUUUUACAAGAUGUCGACACCAAAUGCCCGAUACAGCCGCUUUGGCGUCAAAUGGAUUCUUUUAUGGGGGCAGACGCACGGAAAUAAGAUGUUUCAACUGUGGUCUAUGCUUAAAGCAAGUCACGACAGUGGAGAAUGUUUUAGUUGAACACAUACGUAACAGACCUGAUUGUUUUUUUGCGCAGAGACGACCGAACAGCGAAAGACAUGCAGGCACG
Molecule: long non-coding RNA, 1084 nt
Organism: Physella acuta
Lineage: Eukaryota; Metazoa; Mollusca; Gastropoda; Physidae
Source: RefSeq, a predicted model, not a curated record